AACCAGGGACACCUCAGUCUCC
This 22-nucleotide small nuclear RNA is filed under the name Arabidopsis thaliana (thale cress). RNAcentral's name for it is "snRNA_18327". The record is from RNAcentral. Lineage: Eukaryota; Viridiplantae; Streptophyta; Magnoliopsida; Brassicales; Brassicaceae.